Lolium rigidum is the source of this 3801-nucleotide long non-coding RNA. RefSeq lists it as uncharacterized. NCBI's taxonomy places the organism in Eukaryota, Viridiplantae, Streptophyta, Magnoliopsida, Poales, Poaceae. The transcript is spliced from 3 exons. The record is from RefSeq and is a predicted model, not a curated record.
CGGAAGGGCUGCGGCAACGACAUGAAUUUCAUGGAGGGGCGGAUGAUAGGGUGAUUCCAACAACACAGAUCUGUGGGAUCUUCAACCAGAAUUAUUCAGGAGAGCAGCAUUGCCAAUGAUGAAGGAGAUGCCACCGCCGUCAAUUACGGUUCUCUUGCCCAACAGUCCAACACUGCCAAUGCACGUAUGAUCUCCAACUGUGCAUCAAGCACACAUCCAAUUUUGCCAUCCUUUUAUCUUAGCUUUUGUUCUGAUUAUGGGAGAUCUCUGGUGGUUUAGCUUUCCUUUCAUUCUCUGUUGACUUCUCUCAUAUCCAGAAGAUGUGAGUAUCCACAUCACCAUGGCUACAUUCAAAGUUACUCAACAAAGCAUUCACAUGUGUGCGUGAAUCCUUAAGGAGUUGAUGCAUAGGGUCUCCUUCAGAGCUAGAAGAAUAAGUGUGAUGGCCUAGAGACCUGGUUAGGGAGCUCCUUUUCUUUUUUUUUGCGCUUUUUUGCAUGUGCACAUAAUCUGUUUUAUUAAUUAAUUUGUGUGGUAGGAUAUUUUCUACUGUUUAACUUUCAAAAAUGAUAUACAGUUGAUAUGAACUACCAAAGGCCAGAGUUUAAUGUUUUCCAGAACUCUCUCUUUAAAAGCAUAGGAAGCCCCUUGCCAAGAAAAAGUACAGUGCACAUUUCAUUCUUUUGUCAACUUUCAUUGUUAUACGUACCUUUGUUUUUGUUGACCUGCUGAGGACAUUUAUUGACCAUGAACCAAUGACAAAGAUGUAGCCACCUUCUCUAUUUCUUUUUGCUGAUCUUGGCUAUGAAACAAAACUUGCUCAAAUAUAUAAUGAGUUAAGGAAAUUCAAUUGUUGGCAUUGAUAUUUGUACAUCACUAGCAUUGUUCAAGAUUCCAGCUGUUUUUACUACUCUGGAAGAAGUGCUAAGCAUGGAAAAAAACACUACCGGACACACUUUGGGUUGGGAAACCUGCAGGAUAUAUUGAUUUGGCUGAUAAAUGUUUAUAUGCUAAUUAUGAAGCCUGCAAUGUUGAUCCUUGCUAACUCUGAUAGAAGCCCCCAUGUCAAAGAGGUUGUGGAACUAGCAUCCUGUUUGCAAUAUGACAUGCUCACAUGGUUUGCGAAUUCACAUGUUAUUUGCACAAUGACUUAGAAAGCCUGAACAACUGUUUUUUGCCUUUGGUUCCAAGGGUAGAAAUGGGUUCAGCAUGUAUUUGUGGUCUUGUGGAGCACUUGCGUUGCGACGUGUAGUUUUGUACAUACAACAGUUGUAUGUGUUACCAUGCUUUUAUACAUAUCGUGUAAACACCCAAUAUGUAAUGCACGCGGAAGAGAAAAAUGAUAUAAACAACAAGAACCCAGACAGUGACACCGCGCGGCGUGUCGCGUGCUGAAGCUUCCUCGAGUUACCUUUUCUGUGAAAAUUAUUUCAUCAGUGGCGGAGUAUCUGUGUAAAUAGUUUUUGAACCUCUAGGUACAUUUAUAUAUAAUUAUAUGUAGUCAUGUAUAAUGUCAUCUCAUGGCAUCCAUUCUUUGCUACGUCAGGUGAUGCUAUUAUUUAAAAUGAUGCAACCAAUACCGUCCAUCAGUAUGUUGCCAAAGUUAGUGGGUUCUCGGCCCAUCAGCAUUCUCCCACCAUCAACAUUAUAAUGGAAAGGUAAAUCUUAUUUGAUAACAUAAAAGAUCAGUAAUGCCAUCUCUAUCUCAGUUUCCUGCAUGGACAGUUCGCUUAGUACAUUGAUGUACUUCAACAUAUUGUGUUGGCCAUGCAGAGUGUGAAGAGUAAUGUAUCCUUGAAUGCUACAGAACUUUGGCUUGGAUAACAAAUGAAUGAGCCAAUUGGUGAACUUUUUUACUCUCUAAAUUGUUCACUGCAAUGCCAUAUAGAUAUCAAAUGGAAGGCUGCAUUUGAGCAUGUCAGUGGUUAUGGCAUGUUGGUUCUUUUGAGCAGGCUAUGUAUAUCCCAGCGAUUAUCAUAUAUUAAAAUUAUUUCCAAAUAGAAUACUUUGCAAAUAAGUUAACCUCUUUAGUGGUUCUUAUGUUAAUAUAGAGUUCAAUAAUUGUGAAUUGCAUUGUGUUUUUAAAGCGAAGUUGUGCACAGAACUUUGUAUGCCAAAAUAAAAUCUUGCAGUUCGCAGACGGGUGAAGUUUGUAGGGUAACUUCCUGUUACCUGUCAUAAACCAUUGGUUAUUAUCUACAGCAUUUAGGCCCGUUGAUUUCUAUUUAUUUCAGCCCUUUGUGGCUAUUAUUCAAAAUAUCCAUAAUUUCAGCCCUUUGUGCCUAAUUUUGUUUUUAUUUCUUGGCUUUGCCUACCAUUCAUGCUCAUAUGCAUUAUUGUCCACAAAAUUUAUUUCCAUGAGACCUUGAUUGUCAGCCACCUGAGCUUUUGGUCACAACUGGUUUACAUAGACUAUAGAGGGGAGAGAGGGAUGAUAGCAAAGCUGAACCGGCAACUGGUAGGCUCUUGAGCGCCCCACCUGGGCGAUGCGCGGUCAUGUGAGCUAGCGAGGAUACUCCCAGGCGGAGAAGGAGCACAAACAUAUCAGAAGGUGUCAAUUUCAAGAGUGCAGAUAUCAGCUCGACCUUCUGAAAGAGUACUGCUUCUUAAUCCUAAGAAUGAGGCCAACCGCAGCUCUCAGUCCUUUCCAAAGGCAAAGCAGAGCUCGCUUCAGUUCUCGGCCUCCCUGUGUCAACCAAGAGGUCACCAUUUUGUUCUUGGCAUCCAAAGAACUCACCAUUUCUACUCUGAAAAAGCCAGUGCCUUGCACUGACAGCCCCAGGACAAGGCAACAACAAGACCAUUUAAGUAAAUGCAUUACCAUCAAUGUUCAUCCGUUCUUCCUAUGUUUUCUGAAAGAUUAUGUUGCGUUUUUUACUUACCUGCAGGUGUUGUUGCUGGACUGUAUGUAGGCAUGGAGUAGGAGUGGAAAUAAUCCACGGCCGCUAUGACUGAGUAGUGAUUCUCUGAAAAUGGAUUUUUCAUGUUUCUUGCGGUUAGUUGAAUCUUACGUGAAGGAAAACAUAUCUACUUGACUGCCUUCCCGCCAUGCAAAACUAUUAUCUUCCCACUUUAAAAGAUGAUCCUUCGGUUACCUCUCAAAACAUAUGAGAAGAUUUGGUAGAGUCACUGGCAUCUCAUAAAUCUUGAUGUUUUUUUUUUACUUUUGUCUCCACACCUUUUAUCCUAAGAUUAUCUCAGUCCAAUAUUGAGCCAAUAUUGAGCUAGCAUUUACGAUUAGAGAUCUUAGCGAUCAAAACAUUAUUGCUUUUGUAAUCAGUAUUAGGCUUGCAUGCUUUGAAGCAUCCUUAAAAAUAAUUGACUCAGAAGUUAUUGGUACUGCUUAGCGCUGCUGCUUAUUACUAUCUCUCUCUUUCUGGUGCUCCCGUACAGAAGUGCCUUCAUUGGAGGCAUCGUAAGGGGUACUCUGAUCUUUUUGUGAACACAAGAUCGCCAAGGACACCAUCACCGGAGGCGCGAUCACUACUGUCGUCGAGUUCCUUAACUACCUCACCUAGCUAUGUAAACAGAGUCACCUAGCUAUGUAAACAGAGUUAGUGGCUUGUGGCAGUGUAUGGUCGGACAAAUACAUGGACAAGAAAUUCUUGAUGUGUUUGUGCUGGUGUUGUGUGCGUGUUCAGCAGUAAAUUGAAUUCCUUCUUUUUGGGGUUUGCAUCUCCAUGAUCUGGUUAAGUGUUGAGGAGAAGCUUAGCUACAUGUUGUGGCAGCUAGGUUGAACAAGUCAUGUGUACACGGUAUGAUUGCACACGAUAUUGGGAUGUCCAUUACAGUGAAUGUUAC